CCUACGGGUGGCAGCAGUGAGGAAUAUUGGUCAAUGGGCGGAAGCCUGAACCAGCCAAGUAGCGUGCGGGAUGAAGGCCCUACGGGUCGUAAACCGCUUUUGCACGGGGAUAACACCCUCCACUUGUGGAGGUCUGCAGGUACCGUGCGAAUAAGGGCCGGCUAAUUCCGUGCCAGCAGCCGCGGUAAUACGGAAGGCCCGAGCGUUAUCCGGAUUCAUUGGGCUUAAAGGGAGCGUAGGCGGGCGUUCAAGUCCGCGGUAAAAUUGCGCGGCUAAACCGAGCCCCGCAGUUGAAACUGGAAGCCUUGAGUACACAACAGGCAGGCGGAAUUCGUGGUGUAGCGGUGAAAUGCAUAGAUAUCACGAGGAACCCCGAUUGCGAAGGCAGCCUGCCGGGGUGCGACUGACGCUGAGGCUCGAAGGUGCGGGUAUCAAACAGGAUUAGAUACCCCAGUAGUC
RNAcentral lists this ribosomal RNA (459 nucleotides) under uncultured bacterium. RNAcentral describes it as "partial 16S ribosomal RNA". It matches the Rfam family "Bacterial small subunit ribosomal RNA", at positions 338 to 795 of the family's 1533-position model. The record is from RNAcentral.